RNA transcript from Homo sapiens (human), 6314 nucleotides. It is a transcript of the gene named zinc finger protein 860, with no coding region annotated. The record is from RefSeq and is marked validated. The transcript has 4 exons. NCBI's taxonomy places the organism in Eukaryota, Metazoa, Chordata, Mammalia, Primates, Hominidae.
CAUAUUGGUAGGACCAUGAUGCCCACCUGAGCCGCAAAACCAGUAAGUUUUUAUUCAGGAUUUCAAAAGGGGAAGGGGUAUAUGAAUAGGGAGUAGGUCACAUGCUUUAAGGGGCAAAAAGCAGAGUAAAGAUCAUAUGCAUCUGAGGAAAUGGGGCAAGGACAAAAUCAGAACUCCUGGUAAGGGUCUAUGUUCAGCAGUGCACGUAUUGUCUUGAUAAACAUCUUAACAGAAAACAGAGUUUGAGAGCAGAGAACUGGUCUGACCUCAAAUUUACCAGGCUGGGAUUUCCCAAUCCUAGUAAGCCUGAGAGUACUGCAGGAGACCAGGGCGUAUCUCAGUCCUUAUCUCAACCACAUAGGACAGACAUCCCCAGAGCGGCCGUUUAUAGACCUGCCCCCAGGAAUGCAAUUCUUUCCCUAGGGUCUUAAUAUUCCUUGCUAGGAAAAGAAUUUAGCGAUAUCUUCCCUAUUUGCAUGUCCAUUUAUAGGCUCUCUGCAAGAAGAAAAAUAUGGCUCUUUUUGCCCAACCCUGCAGGCAGUCAGACCUUAUGGUUGUCUUCCCUUGUUCCCUAAAAUCGCUGUUAUUCUGUUCUUUUUCAAGGUGCACUGACUUCAUAUUGUUCAAACACACAUGUUUUACAAUCAAUUUGUACAGUUAACGCAAUCAUCACAGUGGUCCUUAGGUGAUGUACAUCCUCAGCUUACGAAGAUAACAGGAUUAAGAGAUUAAAAUAAAGACAGGCAUAAGAAAUUAUGAAAGUAUUAUUAGGGAAGUGAUAAAUGUCCAUGAAAUCUUCACAAUUUAUGUUCCUCUGCUGAGGCUCCAGCCGGUCCCUCCAUUCAGGGUCCCUGACUUCCCGUGACACCCCAGGUUUUUAAAGAGCCACAGGAAGUCCCUAUCCAGAGAUGAAGUGACAUGCAGUUAGUGUGAUCAAUGCAGUGCAAAGCCGCUGUUAAUAACCAUCCAUGACAUCUCCCCUUCCUGAUUUGCCACCUGACAAAAUGCCCUGUGGAGGGCUGGAAAUGGAGGAUGAAUCCAAUCUCAGCAUUUUUCUGAGAAGGAAAAUGAAACUCAAAAAAAGGAGACUCCCAGGGUCACACUGUGAGCUGGAGGUAGAAUUGGGGCUGCCAGUUUCAAGGCAGAAUGUUCUUGACUGGAUGCCAUUUAAACGGCAGUUUUAAGUGGUUUGCAAAAUACUAGUCCUUCUGACUUCCCCACAGGUAAACGCAAACAACCAGAAUGGAAGAUUACCAAAGUGGACAAAAUAUUCUAGAGACAUAAAAGGGGGAAAAUACAAUUCAAUGUUCCUGUAAAGAGAAACUUCUGUCCAAAGAAAUGUUUUAAAUUUAACUGAGACUUGUAACAUUCUUUUUGUUACAACCUGCUAGAGAGGACUUGAUUUCUCUAAACUCUCCCCCCCGUGCAAGGGAACAAUGAUAUGAUUGUGGGUUGUUUCACUUUGAGUGUUUCUCAACCUCUAAAUAUGAGCCAUUCUCUGCAUCUAAAUAUGAGCCAACCUAUGUGUGAUCUGAAGUCUUUUUAAAUAUAAAUUGCCAGGGGGAGAAGGGGGUUAGUGGACCUUAAGGCUUUUAUCUUCAGAUUUAAGAAUUGACUUUCCCAAAGUUUAAAAAGAGAAAAGACCACUUACAGAAAAUCUCUAAUACAUCUCUGUACUCCCAGUCCUGAAAAGAGAAUUUCAGAAAGAAGCUGUUGCCGGGUGCUGACGUUUCUUUUUGGAUCAAACCUAAUAUUCAAGUCAAUUUUUAUAGGUUGAAACUAUAGAAGAAAGAAAGCAAAAGCCGAAAAACCAGCAAAAAGAUCCCGCUAUCAACUCCAGAGAGUGCAGAACUUAAAAAAAUAAAAUUUAAAACAAAAAAAACUUGACAAGUAUCUUUGGACAGAAGGCUCCCCACUCACAAUGGGAGAGAAGCCAGAGGAAAGGAAAUUAUCAUGGAGAUUCAUCUUGAUGCAAAGAUGAAAGGGAAGAAAUGAGGAAUGGCUUCAGCAUCAAAGUAUACUCCCCAUCAGCAUAUCUCACCACUGGCGACUCACCCUUUGAAUGAAAACCCCUCAGAAAAAAUUCCAUGUGCUAUGAUGAAUUGCUGUCCACUCAACCAACCCAAGACCAGCAGGAACAAAGCCUACUCUGAAAAAGCCUACAAAGUUGUGUUCAUUGACACAUUGCAAAGAGACCACACACCAGGAGAACCAUAGGGUAUCUCCCCAAACAAGGAAAAGAAAAGAAUUACAGUAUGGGGCAAGGGGAGGAAUGGAAUUUAAGUGAAAUGUAUUUUGACAGACUCAAAGCAAGAUAGGUCUAAAUGUAAAGGUAUUAUUUUAAGUCCUGGACUAUGAAGCAGACCCAGGAACCUGUUUGCUGGGAAGCAAUAAGAUUAUUAUCCAUAGCUGUGGAAUACUGUGUCCAAAAACCCCUCCUCCAAAGCUCUGUACCUAGGGUUUGAAUCAAGGCUUCUUCUCUCUUGGUGACUUAGAUCCUCCAGGCAAGGGUGAGAUGUUUCACUCUAACAUCAUUUCAAACAGCAAUGUUUCUGAUAGUCUAAGAUUUUAGAGAAAAAAGGUUUCUCAGUGAGUCAGAAGGCACUACUCACUCCAAGAAGGGGGUUGUUGUGACCCUUUACCACUACAGUGUGCCCCUUGGGAGAAAUACUAUUUAUUGUUAACUUUGAAUCUGCUUUUAUCUUUUAUUCCAGCCUGAUGAAUGGCCAGGCAGAUUUUAACAGUCCAAGCUAAUUUUUACUUUCUCUUGUCUCAAUGGGGGUGACAGACAAUCAGGUCAUUACAACACAGUGGGAGAAGCAACUAUGAUGAGGGUUUAAUUUAGACUUCAUUUAGGUCAGGGAAGACUGUCUGCAGGAGGCAGACCUCCCAGCUGGGAAAAGCAGAAGCUGGCCGAACGAAAGUGGGAAGGAGGAGUGUUACAGCACAGUGAGGACUUGGGCAGAGGCACCAGAGUGGGGCAGAGGGUGGUAAAUUGGAGGAAUCACAAGUGUCAUUGAAGGCAAAUCAACGGAAUGUCUAGAAUGCUUUGGAGGACUGCGUAACACUUACAUCAGAACUUAGACCAAACUCUCCUCUGGCUAAGGUUAGAAAGCACAGGUCACUGGGAGUAUGUGUUCUCUGUUCAGGGGAGAGUCAUUAGCGUGGUCUUCCUAUGCAUAUACACAUGAAAGGCAAGUAGCCCCCAGAGGGGAAGUGCUAAGGGGGAGUUCCCCCGAGGUUUCCUAAGGCACCUGGUUUGCAAAGCUGAUCCCUGUGUGGAAAGUGGAGCCAUUUGUAGACUUGCCCUGAACCAUCCCAUCCUGUUUCCUGAGGACAUUUAGGGAACCAGGCUAGCCUUUAACCAAUGCUGAGUUUCAGGAAAGGACAAGGACAACCAAGAAAUAAAACCACCAUGAAGAAACAGGGUGUUUCUGAGAACUGAAUAUACCAGUGGGUGGUAUCAUUCAAGGUCCUGGGAGGGAACAGACUGCACAGUGAAACAGGAUAAUCCUCUUUCUCGUCUCUUCACUGGCCGAAACCAAUCAGGAACAAAGGGCAAGGAUUUAAUUGGUCCAGGUGGACCUGGGCAUCGGAGGUCAUGUAGCUCUGCAGGGCACUGCAGUGUGUGGUCAGCACUGAGGGCACCUCUCUCUGAGAGCUGCCAAGGCUGUCCCUGGAGGUCAUCCUCCAGGACAGAGAGCAAGGUGGAAAAGGGAGAACAGUGGAUUUGGAGGGACAAAGUAGAAAGUUCUAGAACACGGGCUAAUACUAAGGGCUCUUUUGGACUUGUUCACCCUGGCACAGAGGUUUUUCUCUGCAAAACAACAGCUGGAUUUGGGAAAGUGAGAUAAAAGGAGUUGUCACUUAUAGCACAGCAGGGAACAGCAGACCCUAGCACUGUGGACCUGGUGUCUUCAACAAACUGCCACUUUGGAGACAAGCAGUAGAAAGAAUUUUAAAUUAUUGAACUUACUAGUUUUAACUUAUAUUAUUUUAAAUGAUUUCUUAUUUAAAAAAUUAACGAGUGUCCAUGUUGGCACCCUUUGUUAGAGAAGCAGAUCCUGUUAGAGUGGUGACAGCCAAGUCUGGAGCCCUAAGCAAGUCUGGAAGGACAUGAGUGUCAGGUGGAGACUUUAUCCUGAGGGCAGUGUGGACCUGGAGGGCCUCCAGCAGGGAGCAGCAUGUGGUACUGGCUGCUUUUGCUGGAUUAUGCUGUGAUAGGCAAGCCCCUGCCCAUCCCUUACAUUACCAGGAAGGAUUGCAUAUUAAUUCUGUUGUCACCUGACUCCCUUGCCCAGAUGGGGAAGACAACUGUUAAGCACUAGAAGAGAAGACAAGAAAGGGGAGUCAGAACACAGGGACAAAAAACAGUACUUGCUUUUCAAUUUUGAGCCUUCAAGAUAUCGGCUGGAGAACUAGAAAAUCUUGUUUCCAGGCAUCACAUUCUUCGGUUCCUCUGCAUUUUUCUAAGCUUUGGAGGAAUGUAUAAACUGGUUUCCAAAAAUGUUCUGAGUUUUCUUUCAACAAAACUAUUGAACACCUGCUAUGUGUCAGGUACCAAGAGAACAACAGAGAAGAAAACAUGGGCUGCCUGACAGCCUUGCAGAGCGACAGACACAUGCGCAGUUAUUUGCAGGUGUAUGGCUUAGCCUCUAAAACAAUGCAGGCCAUGUUUUAGACCAAAGAAAAGGAUAGCUAGAAUUUUUACAGGUGCAUAAAAUUAAGUAAAUUAUAGUCCUUAUUUCAUGGUGCUUAUUGUCAUCAGCCUGUUUUAUUUUUUGCAAUUCAAUUCCCACUUAUGUUUCUCCCCAUAGGCACCCACUUUGAUGGACUUAAUAAGUAUCCUUGGAUAGGAUGGCAUCUUUAUAAAAUCAUACAGAAGUGGUAUCACACCGUAGAUCUUAAUCUGCCGCUUCUUUCACUCAACACUUUUUUUUAUUAUUUUACUUUAAGUUCUGGUGUACAUGUGCAGAACGUUCAGGUUUGUUACAUAGGUAUACGUGUGCCAUGGUGGUUUGUUGCACCCAUCAACGCGUCAUCUAGGUUUUAAGUCCUGCAUGCAUUAGGUAUUUGUCCUAAUGCUCUCCCUCCCCUUGCCCCCUAUCCCCAACACUAAUUUUUAAGAUCUACCCAUGAUGCACACGCACAUCUAGUUCAUAGGGCCUAACUGCUGGAAAGUAUUCCACAGGUUGUAUCUAUUCCAUAGUAUUAUCCAUUCCCUGAGCAGUAAAUGCUCAGAUGCCUCCAAUUGUCCUACUACCACAUUAAUCUGGAGAUUAACGUAGCAUCUGUAGACCUGUCCCUUUAUGGACUGUGAGCAAGUUUCUCUGGAGCAUUUACCCAGGAGUAGGCUAAAUAAGUCAUGGGGCAUAUGUGACGUCCAUAAGUAUUGGCAUACUGCUCUCCAGACACUCAAACUUGGUAUUGUCUGCCUCUUUAAUGUUUUGGGUUUUUUUUGUUGUUGCUUUUUCUCUGAGAUGGAGUUUCACUCUGUUGCCAGGCUGGAGUGCAGUGUCGCUGUCUCGGCUCACUGCAACCUCUGCCUCCCAGGUUCAAGCAAUUCUCCUGCCUCAGCCUCCUGAGUAGCUGGGACUAAAGGCACCUGCCGCCAUGCCCAGCUAAUUUUUUGUAUUUUUAGUAGAGAUGGGGUUUCACCGUGUUAGCCGCAUGGUCUCAGUCUCCUGACCUCGUGAUCCGCCCACCUCAGGACUCCCAAAGUGCUGGGAUUACAGGGUGAGCCACCGUGCCCAGCCCAAUGUUUUUGGCUUUUAAGUGGUGUCUUGUUUUACUUUAUUUAUUUAUUUUAUUUUUUAUUUUAUUUUGUUUUUUUGAGACAGAGUCUUGCUCUGUCACCCAGACUGGAGUGCAGUGGUACCAUCUUGGCUCACUGCAGCCUCCGCCUCCCAGGUUCUAGCAAUUCUCCCACCUCAGCCUCCCAAGUAGCUGCGAUUACAGAUGAGCACCACCAUGCCCAGCUAAUUUUUGUAUUUUUAAUAGAGACGGGGGUUUCACCAUGUUGGCCAGGCUGGUCUCAAACUCCUGACCUCAGGUGAUCCCUCUGCCUCGGCCUCUCAAAGUGCUGGGAUUACAGGCGUGAGCCACCGCACCCCUCCAUCUUGUUUUAUUUUGGUAUCCAAUGAAGUUGAGCAAUCUUAGCCAUUUUGAUUUCCCCUUGAAUACACUUUGUGUAUUUUUCUGUUGGAUUUACUUUAGAUAUUAUUUCUGUCACUUUUUGAUGAUGUAAAAAUCUCCCUUUCUGUAAGCCAGUUGUCAUCUUUGUCUACUAUAUCACAUUAAAAAUGAAUUCUUAA